AUGCUUAGGUUUUUCUAAUAGUCUAUCCUUCCUCAUCUGAGUAUGGGAGAAAGUUUCUGAUAUUAUUGCUUGCAUGAAACUGACUCUGAAUUGUUAACUUGCUUAAUCUGUGUAGCCUCCUCUUAAUCUUCUACUCAAGCGACAACGACACUAGUGUAGAUAAAGAUCUUGCUUUGGAUGAUGCUACUAAAUCGUCAAUUUUAAGUGUGUCGUGGUGCAAGAGGUGGGUUUGAAGGGACAUGCAUAUCAUAUAUUAUUGAAGAUUUAACGUUAUCAAGCAUGUCACAUUAACGAUAGAGAUUAAAGUAUAAAUAAUACACUUCGGUGUUAGCAGAAAAUUAACCAUACGGAGUCAGACAGAUGGAGAAUGUAAAGAGAAUUACUUUAUAGGUGAGCAAAAUCAAACCAAACAGUUAACCAGAUCUUAUGGACUGCAUGCCAAGUAGGAGCUCUUAUUUACCUUAGUUUAUUUAAAUUAUAUUGAAUUUUAUAAAGACUCCACAAAUAGUUUCUUAAAGAAAAGAAAAGACGCAUCAUAAAGUGAGAAGUUCCCACUGUAGUUUUGCGAAGUUAUCUUUUCCUUUGCCUUAACUAGUAUGCUUUUUCAGGAAGCUUAACAGAAGUGAAAUUUAGAGGAUAUGAUACUUAUUAUCACCUGCUUCCUCAAAUUUUAAGAAAUUUAACCUAUCUUAUUACCAUGCAUUAGAAUCGUACCACUUCUCCUAGCUAUACCUGAGAAAAUUCUCGCUUCUACACUUAUGUCCCAUCUUACAAGGUCUUCAAGGUAAUGGGACAGCCGCUUCUCAACCUAGGGAUAUGUGCCUUCUUU
Non-coding RNA from Momordica charantia (bitter melon), 829 nucleotides. The record is from RefSeq and is a predicted model, not a curated record. NCBI's taxonomy places the organism in Eukaryota, Viridiplantae, Streptophyta, Magnoliopsida, Cucurbitales, Cucurbitaceae.